AAGUCGUAACAAGGUUUCCGUAGGUGAACCUGCGGAAGAUCUUAGCACGUAUCAUAACGUUAAACCCCCUGCGAACCUUUUUUGUAUGAGUUACAUCCACGUCAUAAACCGGCAUCCCUGGUAAAUCACGCGUGUAAGGUAGUGCGAGGCAAUUGAAAUUCCUCUGCUUGUUAGUUUGAAAGUGUCACUAGCUAUGUAUGGAUGGGCAGUAACGAUCGCCGACACGGCCGGCGACCAGGUCACUGGGCUACGGCCCCCCUGAUCACAACCUUUGCAUGAAAACGGGCCUUGGUUCUC
This 297-nucleotide unclassified non-coding RNA is filed under the name fungal sp. RNAcentral describes it as "partial internal transcribed spacer region". Lineage: Eukaryota; Fungi. The record is from RNAcentral.